UACAGAGGUCUCGAGCGUUGUUCGGAUUCAUUGGGCGUAAAGGGUGCGUAGGCGGUCGCGCAAGUCGGAUGUGAAAUCUCAGGGCUCAACCCUGAAACUGCAUUCGAUACUGCGUGGCUAGAGUGCUGGAGAGGAGACUGGAAUUUACGGUGUAGCAGUGAAAUGCGUAGAUAUCGUAAGGAAGACCAGUGGCGAAGGCGAGUCUCUGGACAGCAACUGACGCUGAGGCACGAAGGCCAGGGGAGCAAACGGG
Molecule: ribosomal RNA, 253 nt
Filed under: uncultured bacterium
Lineage: Bacteria
Description: partial 16S ribosomal RNA
Rfam family: Bacterial small subunit ribosomal RNA
Source: RNAcentral